GUCUCAGUUCGGAUUGUAGUCUGCAACUCGACUACAUGAAGCUGGAAUCGCUAGUAAUCGCGAAUCAGAAUGUCGCGGUGAAUACGUUCCCGGGUCUUGUACACACCGCCCGUCACACCAUGGGAGUCAGUAACGCCCGAAGCCGGUGACCUAACCGAAAGGGAGGAGCCGUCGAAGGUGGGACCGAUAACUGGGGUGAAGUCGUAACAAGGUAUC
This 216-nucleotide ribosomal RNA is filed under the name uncultured bacterium. Its description in RNAcentral is "partial 16S ribosomal RNA". It matches the Rfam family "Bacterial small subunit ribosomal RNA", at positions 1285 to 1500 of the family's 1533-position model. The record is from RNAcentral.